Molecule: ribosomal RNA, 500 nt
Filed under: Bacillus sp. EGU42
Lineage: Bacteria; Bacillati; Bacillota; Bacilli; Caryophanales; Bacillaceae
Description: bacterial SSU rRNA
Rfam family: Bacterial small subunit ribosomal RNA
Source: RNAcentral
GAUGCAGUCGAGCGAAUGGAUUAAGAGCUUGCUCUUAUGAAGUUAGCGGCGGACGGGUGAGUAACACGUGGGUAACCUGCCCAUAAGACUGGGAUAACUCCGGGAAACCGGGGCUAAUACCGGAUAACAUUUUGAACCGCAUGGUUCGAAAUUGAAAGGCGGCUUCGGCUGUCACUUAUGGAUGGACCCGCGUCGCAUUAGCUAGUUGGUGAGGUAACGGCUCACCAAGGCAACGAUGCGUAGCCGACCUGAGAGGGUGAUCGGCCACACUGGGACUGAGACACGGCCCAGACUCCUACGGGAGGCAGCAGUAGGGAAUCUUCCGCAAUGGACGAAAGUCUGACGGAGCAACGCCGCGUGAGUGAUGAAGGCUUUCGGGUCGUAAAACUCUGUUGUUAGGGAAGAACAAGUGCUAGUUGAAUAAGCUGGCACCUUGACGGUACCUAACCAGAAAGCCACGGCUAACUACGUGCCAGCAGCCGCGGUAAUACGUAGGUGGC